GCCCCCAUCGCUGCGGCCCUGCCAGGGCCCUCUCGGGCAUCACCCGCUCUCGGCACGGUCGGGCCCUCUCCCGACAUCCCAAAUAAAAGAGCUUCACGGGCCCUCUGAGCCGCAAUCCCCGAUACCGAGUGAGCUGUCACUGUUUUCUUCCACUGAAAUCUGGCAGCGAACCAACGGGGGGAAGAAACAAACCUGCUAUAAUUAAUGUUCUUGCUGUUCAAAUAUUUAUAUAAAGCAAGAUAGAGCCGUAUGCCUCUGCAAUCUCUUGGAUCUGUCCAACCUUCUCAGCUUUGCAGACGGGAACAACUACAACUGAUUACACAGGGCUGCUGAUGGCUCAGCCCAGCUCCCCUGCUCGGUACCUGGCUCUGUGCAGACCACUGCUGCCUUGGAGAGAGGUUACACUGACCCCAUGGUGCAAACAGAAGGGGAAAAGGACUAUCCUUCUCAUGGAAGAAGGAUUUGGGGGAUAUUUUUUUCCUGGGCAUGGGUUUGGGUACAAAUGGAAUUAGGAGCUUUGGUGUCUUACAUCAUAAAUGGCACCAGUUCAGGCAAGUCCUGGGGAAUUGGAGCCUGGACCAGUCAACCCUUGUGCUCAUCCCCAAGGCUGAAAUCAUCAAAACUGAGAUGCUGCAAGAAGUUACAGGAGAUUUUGAAGUCUAGGUCGGAACAGCUCUAAGCCCUUCAGGUGAGCUGCCAAAACAACAUGAUGCAACACCAUUCCCUGCUCCCACCUGCCACCCUCCGCUCCCCGGAGCAGCUCAUUUACUGAUGAGCUCCUGGGAAGAGGUUUAACAACAGGAUGUGCAACACAUCCGUAAAAAUUGCAUCAACUGCGAUGCCAAGGAGUUUUUCUCUGUGUUGUGAACUUUGCCUGGACUGUCUGUGAUGGAUCUGCCGUGUGAAUCCACAUCUGCUGGAGAACGUGAGAACUCACCAUCGUCCAGCUCCAUUAUGAAAAUGUUUUAUUAUUUGUACUGCUGGCUGCUAAAAUGAUCAAUGUCUUAUGAAAGGCAUUUCCUUCUUGCAUUGAUAUCCAUGACCAUGUGGCUUCUGCUCGUCCUGUACAGCAGGAGCUGUGGGAGCACUGCUGGCCGCUGUCCCAGCACCUGCGGGGCCGCUAGUGGAGAUCCAGCCUCUGGCCAGAUGUUACCCCAAGCUCCACUCACAAAAUUCCACCACCAAGGCUCCUCAGUCCAAGUUCUGACUGUAUUGAUCAACAUCUCAAGUUGAAGUUAGCCAAGGAACCAAUACCAGUGUUUGUUUCUCCCCAUCAGCACUUUUGUGUUGCUCCUCAGGUAUCAGCAGCUGCUGUUUAUUAAGUGAAAAGCCUUCAGCAGCCCGAGCACCCAUCGCUCAGGAAAGCUCCUGUUAACCAGGGAUCACUCUGGCACAGCACAACCCCCCACCCCAAAGCAGACCCCACUUACAGAGCACUAAGUGCUUCCACAACCAAUUGUAUAGAUCUGCUGUCACGGUCAGUUCAAUAACUCCAUCGCUGGACAGACAUUACAGACGGGUCAGAUGCUGUUUGGUUGCCAGGAUGUAACAAAAACCUUUUAGUUUCACUUUACUGAUGGGGAAAAUGGAAGCUGAGGAAGCCAGAGUUGGGCACAGAGAGCAGCUGCCCUGAACUCGUGCCCCUCAAACCACAAGGCAAAUGUUUCCUGAUGGCCAGCAAACAACAGUGACCAGGGAGGGAAGGGACAGAAUGGAAUGAUUUUCUUUCCAGAAUCCCUCCUUUCCUACAGAAAUGCAGUCCCUGACAAAGCUGCCAUCAAUGCAGGUAAUCCCCACACCAGCUACCUUCUGCAGGAAUCAUGUCCUGUGAGCAGAAAGGGGCCCCAAAGUUAAGGACACAAACCCUGGGAGAACAAGGCCACCUUUCCCUGAGGGAUGAGGACACCCUGCAGCACUGGUGCCAGGCUGGUCUAGAAAGAGAAGCAGGAGUGUGCCCACUGGUGCUGGGACACUCCCAUUGCUCCCACCCCGAGGAAUUGUGUAAAUGGGAGGAGAGAACGAUCGCCACAUGGGAUCCCUGGCAGCCUGUCAAACCGAGAAGCAAAGAGGAAAAAAACAAUGGAGACGUUUUUAUUUCCUUAUGUCCUACCAGGCCAGUUGUUGAACUUACAAUGACCAACUCAUUGUGCAACUCCAAGGCUCCCCAGCCCACCUCCCUCCUUCCUCUCCGCCCCUGGUCCACACACAGUGUUUCGUGGUCCCUUCUGCCCAGGUGGCCAGGCCACCUCCUCAGAGGAUGCUCUGAGAGGCAGAUGGGACUCGUGACUCCUGCUCACACAGGAACUUUGGCAAGCAGCUCGCUGAGCCCUUGAUCUCAUCUGACCCAAGUCUACCUGUCUGUCCCAGUUCCUCCACAGAGUCCCAUUUCUCCACUUCUAAUCAUAUGAGGAGCUGGCUGGAAUGAAAUGCAACAUAUUCCUUUGGCUUCUGCAGCAGCCACGGGGAAGAGCAGAGUUGUCUUUGCAAGUGCUCCCAGUGCAGAGGCAAACAACCAGAAACAGUCCUUCCUCCUGGCAGGGAGGAGGUGGGGACCGGGAGGUGGGGAGGGAAGAGAGCUGGAACAAUCUGCCAGCAGCACAAGCUUUGUUCCCACUCCAACUCUGGCUCAGAGGGGAAGCAGCCAGCAGAAAAAAAACCUAAACCAAAACAAACCCUUAAGAAGCAAGGAAGCUGUUCCCAUGCUUGCAGUGACUUCUAAAAGAGCAUCUCCCACCCCCAAAAUGCCGGGAUGAACGCAGGAAAUAAGAGAUGCUUUUUGACAAGACUUUUGCAAAGUAUUCUGUGCAGAAUCUCCAGCUCAACAGAUUGUAAGAUCCUGCAGAUCCCAUGCAAGGGGGCUCUAUGGGGAAGAACAAAUUGGCAUAAAAAAUGCACACGCUGGACAAAAAACCUUUCAAGUUUGAAGUCCCAAACAACAAAAAGUCUGUUUUAUUAAUCUGCUGUCAAUUAUGGGUGUCACAUGCACUGUGUGAGACUUCAGGCUGGCACCACAGGAGUUAAAAAAAAAAGAAGAAAAAAAUCAAAGCCAAGCAGGCCCCUGAGCUUGGUGUGCAGAGCCAGCUCUGCCUGGCUGGAGCUGUCGGGGCUCCAGCAGCAGCGAGGAAAGCCAGCAGAGGGCAGGGAAAUGCUGCAGGAAUGCACAGACAAGGCAGGGAAGAUGCAAUAAACUGUAUUUCCUUCCUUUCACGACACUAUUUGCAGCUCAGAGUGUAAGUGUUGCAGAACACUUAAACCACAACACUCCUCACCCACUGGCCGGGCCCCAGACACUGCCUGGGACCCUCCUGUGCCAGCUCUGCUCCUGGUGCCAAAGCUCUCGAGACCACAGCAUGCCUGGGACAGCUGUGGCUCAGGCCAGGACUGGGAUUUCCCCAGGAUGAGCUCAGUCUCCUGGUUUUCAGCAGCCAGGACAUUAUUCUGAGCGUGUCCCUCGCUCCUCCCACUUCCAACCACUACAGUGGGAGAAGAACCCUGCAACUGGGCCACAGCUGAGGCCACAGCUUCCACAAACACACACUGAAAGACAGGAACAUUUUUCCUAUAAGAAUCUUACUGUUGGAACUCAAAAAUGUUCCCAGAAGCAUUUUCAUUAUAUUUUAUUUACAAAAAAAAAAAAAAAGCUUAAAAAUCCCCCCAACUUCACUUUUUUCAGAGUGACUGAGACAGGUCAAACAUACAUGUUGUCAGUGCUGCUUCAAGGAAAAGAAUCAUCUCAUACACCUUAAACAGACAGAGGCUUUGGUUGCAGUGGAUUUGGGGGGUUUCUGUUUUUUAAGUCAAGGCCAAGAAAUUUCUAAGCUAACACAACCUUCUCUGAAAGCACAGACAAAUCAAGUGUCAUCCUCAAGCAUCAGCCCAGUGCCAGAACACAGCCUGAAUGGGACAUAAAAGCUAGAAACUAAUAAUUAGAGUCAAUUAGGAAUGACACUUAAUCAUUCAAAGGCCUCUAUAGAUUUUUCCCAGGUGUGUUUCAUGAAAUUUAUGUAGCUUCCAAAGUCCUCUAUACUACUUGCCACAAAAGACUGGCAGGAAUCAUAUUUGGAGAGCUAAAAGAGACGCUGUCAAAAUGAUGUUGUUCACACAGUAUGGAAAUCAAAGGCCCAUCCUGGGCACCCCACAGCCCCUCUGGAGCCAGAGGAGAGGCUGCAGUGGGAUGGGAUGGGAUGGGAUGGGAUGGGAUGGGAUGGGAUGGGAUGGGAUGGGACAGCCACCACUCAACCCACUGCCCAGGUGCUGCAGAGCUCAAGCCCAGCAAAGCCCCUGGGUCACAGUUAAUCAGCAGUAUCCUGCUGGGGCACAUCUCAAAUGCAAAGCUGAUACAAAGUCUGACAUCACCAUACUGAGGGGUUUUAAAAUAUCCAGAGAGAGCUGAAUGCAUUAGAAUAUUUCCUCACAAACCUUGCUCUUACUGGCACUCUCUGGGCUUGAGAGCCCGUAAAAUAAAGAGGCCAAAUUGCUUCAACUGGCAGGUCUCAGUGCAGUCUGUGCCUUGUUCACGUGCACAAAGGAGAACUCCUUUCUCACUUCAGGCGUAGUUUCAAAAUUGAGCUGUAGCCUAAAACUCAGCCCCACAGUGCUUCAGGAACACACCUGCCCUCCCCGAGAUGGAGACGAGUGAUACACCAACAGGGCACGGAUCAGAAAGGCAGAACCACUGGGUAUGAAAGCAGUGAGUUACACAGGUGUCCUCCUGCGUUAGUCCUCUGCCAAGGUGCCCUCUUACCUCGUGCAGUUUACUGCAGGUGCCAUUGAGGAGCACUGACGAAAACACCCAGGUUAGAUACGCAAGAAUUAAUAUUUAUAUGUCUGAAGCGGGACCACAUUCUGAACAGCAGCAAAACAAGCUACCACAUGCAGGUUUCGUGUCAAGAAGGGGCCUGGAGAGGUGCCCCCAGCUCAGGAAGUCACACGGGCUCUUUGAUGUGGCUCUGCACGAGAAGCAACAAGCUCAGCUCCUCAGCAGAGCCAGUUAGGCCAACAAAGGACCUGUUUAAUUUAGCAAUGCUGCUUCCUGGGCCCAAGACACUUCAUCUCAAAGGCUGUACACAGACAGCCCUGGAUGUCUGGGGCCAGGGUUCACUGAGCAAAAGCAGAACUGGCAGGCAAACAGUUUCCUGUAAAUUCCACAGGAACCUGAAGCAAGACAUUCUGCUUGAUGCCACUGUGAAGUUUCACCAUCUCCUUCAGCAUCUCCAAGCUCAGCACCCAGCUGUGCACGCAGGAACUAGAGAAAGGACGCACUCACCUGCUUUCACUGUCCAGAAACACGGAACUGCUGCUUUUCCCAAGGGCUUCACUGAUGGGAGAGAGGCAGAAGGGGGAGGAGAAGGCAUCAGAA
Molecule: long non-coding RNA, 5359 nt
Organism: Pseudopipra pipra
Lineage: Eukaryota; Metazoa; Chordata; Aves; Passeriformes; Pipridae
Exons: 2
Source: RefSeq, a predicted model, not a curated record